AUGGCGCCUAAGAAGACGCCAAAGGGCAAGUUAGGCUUCUUCGGCAUGAGGCAGAAGCCCUCCGGUAACUGGGGAGUGGAGUUCUCCGACGCCGGGAGGCAUUGGUGGAUCGGCACGUACCCCUCCGCCCACGAGGCCACGUGUGCCUACGACAUGGCGGUGUGGCGUGCCGAGAGGCCUCGGGAGCACCUCAACCUCCCAGAGAUCGAGAGUCGGGUGGAAGCGGAGAUGCUUGUGCCGCAGGACAUCAAGAUGAAGGAGAUCACGAUGAAGAAGCCGUCGGUUGUCGUCAAUGCCGGCGAGACCGACGAGGAGGCGAUGGCGAGGUUUGCUCGGGAGCAUCCGGAGUACGUCCAGGCCGAGCUAGAGUACUACUGGAAGCGUGAGGCGGAGCAGAAGAAGAAGGAGGACGAGGCCGGUCCCUCGACGGUGAUCCCCAUCGAGUCCUCUUCCGAGGAGGACCGGGCAGACUUCUCAGAGGAGGAGGAGGAGGAGGAGGGGUGCGAUGACCCGGAGAAGGAGGGGUUCUGGGCGCAGUUCCGCAGCUCCGACAAUGAGGAGUAG
Molecule: ribosomal RNA, 564 nt
Filed under: Triticum aestivum (bread wheat)
Lineage: Eukaryota; Viridiplantae; Streptophyta; Magnoliopsida; Poales; Poaceae
Description: partial small subunit ribosomal RNA
Source: RNAcentral